CCCCUAGAUGUUCUGGGCCGCACGCGCGCUACACUGAACAGUUCAACAAGUCUUAACCUUGGCCGAUAGGUCUGGGUAAUCUUUGAACGCUGUUCGUGAUUGGGAUAGACCUUUGCAAUUAUGGGUCUUCAACGAGGAAUUCCUAGUAAACGCAAGUCAUCAGCUUGCAUUGAUUACGUCCCUGCCCUUUGUACACACCGCCCGUCGCUCCUACCGAUUGAGUGCUCAGGUGAAUAAUUCGGACUGCAGCAGUGUUUGGAUCCCGAACGCUGCAGCGGAAAGUUUAGUGAACCUUAUCACUUAGAGGAAGGAGAAGUCGUAACA
Molecule: ribosomal RNA, 324 nt
Filed under: uncultured eukaryote
Lineage: Eukaryota
Description: partial 18S ribosomal RNA
Rfam family: Eukaryotic small subunit ribosomal RNA
Source: RNAcentral